GGGCUGUUUUUGACAAUACAAUGCACAUAUAUCGGGUUGUAGCACCAUUAAGUCAUGCUAAAUUACUGAAAUCUUCAAAAUUCUAUCAUUUUAGUUCAAUUUUAGACGGUUUCCUUGUAAAACGAAAGUGGCCGCAUUCGUGUUCAUCCUUAAUAUUGAAAUGUAAGUUGUAUUUUAUGAUAAUACAUAACAUAUAUAAAGGUUGUGGAUGAACACGGAUGCGGCCACUUUCAUUUUUGACAAAAACCAUCUGAAAAAUGACGUUUUUU
This 269-nucleotide long non-coding RNA is filed under the name Mytilus galloprovincialis (Mediterranean mussel). Lineage: Eukaryota; Metazoa; Mollusca; Bivalvia; Mytilida; Mytilidae. The record is from RNAcentral.